Molecule: ribosomal RNA, 374 nt
Filed under: uncultured organism
Description: partial 16S ribosomal RNA
Rfam family: Bacterial small subunit ribosomal RNA
Source: RNAcentral
GUAGGUGGCAAGCGUUGUCCGGAAUUAUUGGGCGUAAAGCGCGCGCAGGCGGUCCUUUAAGUCUGAUGUGAAAGCCCACGGCUCAACCGUGGAGGGUCAUUGGAGACUGGGGGACUUGAGUACAGAAGAGGAAAGCGGAAUUCCAAGUGUAGCGGUGAAAUGCGUAGAGAUUUGGAGGAACACCAGUGGCGAAGGCGGCUUUCUGGCCUGUAACUGACGCUGAGGCGCGAAAGCGUGGGGAGCAAACAGGGAUUAGAUACCCUGGUAGUCCACGCCGUAAACGAUGAGUGCUAAGUGUUAGGGGGGUUUCCGCCCCCUUAGUGCUGCAGCUAACGCAUUAAGCACUCCGCCUGGGGAGUACGGCCGCAAGGCUG